UGGUUGGAGAUAAGUACAAAUAACCCUGGGAGAAAACCUCCUGAAGUUUGCAAGAGACCUGGGACCUCGACAAUUACCACAAAAUUACAGCCAAAACCAUAUUUCAGUGACUUAAAACCAAAAGGUUAAUGUCAAAGCAUGGACUUCAAUGCUAGGAUAACAGAGUCCUGGACAAAUCCUAAUGCAUCAUUAGUUUUGACUGUGAUGAGCCUCGAACACAGAACCUGUUGUUUGGUAGUAUGUGUCACUAACCACUAAGGGGCAGGCGAGCGGUCACUCACUCAGUAAGAGACAUUCGCUCUUCUUUUGUGUGUCACCAUUCAUUUCAUCCAUAGCGGAUCUUCUGAUCAACACCACGAUCAUCACCAGACAGGUCAGGAUUUUGACAUUGGACUUCCUCCUCGUCCUGCUGUGUCUCCAACAUAGAUUAAUCUCUGUCAAAGACAACAUAAAAGGGUGCCAAAAUCUUAGAUUCAGCUCUGUCAAAGACAACAUAC
Esox lucius (northern pike) is the source of this 497-nucleotide long non-coding RNA. Lineage: Eukaryota; Metazoa; Chordata; Actinopteri; Esociformes; Esocidae. The record is from Ensembl.